UAGUAGCUCGUGUUUCUUUUACCAUCCAUACCACUUGUAGGACCAUGAACUGUGUCAUCACCUGUUUGACUAAUACCAGGUACAGAACUACUCACAUAAACUUUGGCGACAGAUUUGUUAGUUACAACAAUUCGAUCAACAAGACCAGGUUCAAGUAGCUUGUUUUUGAAUUCUUGGAAGCUAAUCUGAAAUUUUACAUCAAGCGUUAAUAAUCAUGAUAAAGCAAAAACAGAUACAGAAAACCAACUAACAAAGAUAAGAUAGAAUUGCCGCCCCUAGAAAAUAAAAACCUGCUUGGUUACGAGUCAUCACUGAGAGCAUUUAAUAUUACACAGAAGUCACACUGCUUCAUUAAUUUCAAAGCCACACUAAAAGAAGUUCUUCAUCAAUAUAAUCCACUUCUAGUUUUUCUUAUUGUUAUUGUUAUAAAUGUCAAGAUAGUCAUUUUGAGUGAUGGCAAUAUAUAACCUAUAUGCAAGGACUAUCAGGUGGGAUGAAAUAGAGUCAGUACUUAGGUCUCCUUUCUCAUUCUUGUAGGUUGCUUUAACAAGUAUACAAUCUUCUAUCCAUGGAAUCAUCACUAAAUUUGUUGAUGAGUUAUUUCAGAGUAAGAAAAAAGUUAUAAUGAAAUGCAGCUGAGGUUAAUUUGCUCGUGUACUUAUUCAAAUUCAAUUAAAAUCUAGCAAUGUUUUCUUGUUCUAGAUGGAUUUGUUUCGCUUCUUAGGAUUAUGCUCUACUAAAGCAAAUAGCUGCUCCAUCUGGAUUUGCAUGUACUGGACAAACAGGUAGUAAUGUCCAUGAACCAGUGUAUGGUAUAAGAACAUAAAUCUGUCAUUGAUCAGUCAACUAUGUAAAAGACAAGCUCAAGUAAUCCAAUACCGAUACACUACAAGUUAAUUAUUUACACGCGCAGGCUGACUAGGAGAGGGUGGAGAAGUAACAGUUGCAGACCAGAAGAACAGUUUUAUAUGCGAACGCUGUAACUUCAUAGCAGUGUUUUAAAAAUAAAUAUCUAGUUAUGCUAAUUCAAAUUUCUUAUUGGGUUCAUGGUGCAUCUGCAAUAAAGCAGCAUGUGCAUUGAUCACUAACAGGCUGAACAAACCUUUUUCUCAUUCUUGGUUUUAGUGAAACCUUACGUGGAGUUUUUUUUUUUUUCUGUGUUUGUUCCUCAGAGAACAUUCAUCUGGAGAAGCUUUUGAAAAACAACUUUUAGACGACUUGAGUUUGAAAUGCUUCUGGGGCAAAUAGUUGUUCAGAAACAAUGAAAAAUACCUGAAUCUGUUUUGGUUUUAGGAAACUUGCUGCCUUUUAUGUCAAUUCUUUUAACAAACCAAACAAUGUUGUUAUAUUUUAAAAUGUUCUUCGAAAAAAAAGUUCCCAAUCAAAUGCCAUCCAAAGCCCAAAAGAAUGCAAGUGAUACCAUCCACAAACACUAACGCCGAAUAGUUAAUCUCAUCACACUGGUCCCCCUCAAAAAUAAGUAGUAUUAACUACUGGACAGCUAAAUCAAUAAAUCAUUUUUUAAUGGGAAUUUUAGGGGUAGCUCUAUCUGGGAAUUUAAGCAGACAACAUUCCAAAAACUAUUAGCGAUUUAAGCCGAUAGCAUUCCAAAAACUACAACAACAACAACAAUACCAGUAUAUUCCCACCAAGUGGGGUCUAGGGAGGGUAAGUGUACGCAGUCAUACCACUACCUCAAAUGUGAGAUACAGAGGCUGUUUCCGAUAGACCCCCGGCUCAAAAUAAAACAAUCUAAGAUAAGAUAAAGAAUAGUAAUAGAACAAGAUACAAUUAAAAUUAAAAUAUUAAAUAAUACCAAAAGCAAGAUACUCCAAGUACACAUCAAAACAUGCAACAUCCUAACGCAGACUAACCUUCUACCCUAAUUCACCUCCUCCACAACUUCCUAUCCAGGGUCAUGUCCUCGGUAAGCUGAAGUUGCUCCAUGUCAUAUCUAAUCACCUCCCUCCAAUAUUUCUUGGCAACUUAGCUUGAAACUAACAACAAUUCGAUCAACAAGACCAGGUUCAAGUAGCUUGUUUUUGAAUUCUUGGAAGCUAAUCUGAAAUUUUACAUCAAGCGUUAAUAAUCAUGAUAAAGCAAAAACAGAUACAGAAAACCAACUAACAAAGAUAAGAUAGAAUUGCCGCCCCUAGAAAAUAAAAACCUGCUUGGUUACGAGUCAUCACUGAGAGCAUUUAAUAUUACACAGAAGUCACACUGCUUCAUUAAUUUCAAAGCCACACUAAAAG
Molecule: long non-coding RNA, 2252 nt
Filed under: Capsicum annuum
Lineage: Eukaryota; Viridiplantae; Streptophyta; Magnoliopsida; Solanales; Solanaceae
Description: long non-coding RNA (CANN_LNC016090)
Source: RNAcentral